UUGUGAUUUCUAUAUGUUGAUUUAUAUGUUACUUAUGUGAGAUUGAUCAAUUGAUUUUGUUUUAUGGAAAACUUUUAUAUGUUUUUGUUCUUUGGUGCGCAACUUAGAAUGAUUGCAUAUAAUUGGAGCUAGUAAUUAGGUUCAUGCUUUGUGACCCUAAUUCGAAUAAGUAGUAAAAGCUUUGGACAAAAGUCGAAAUCAAUUGGUUUGUGUUAUUGAAUAGACAUGCUUUAAUUUGUGUACUAGGAUUAAUACAAUUAUUGACUAAACUUUCACUUGCUCUUAAUGAUUUGAAACUUGAGUUUGCAUAGUUGCUUUGAUUGUGUGAAACCUGUUUUCAAAAUAUAUUGGUUAGGUGCUUUGCUUGAUCAAUUGUGUAAAGGGAAGUAAAAUAAGGGACAUUGGUUGCUUUGAUCUUUGUUUCUUGGUUGAUAUAUUCUCGUCUCAUAGAUAACCAACUAUUAGAAUUGUAACCGGAUUUCUUGCAUAUGGAUGUAGUUUUGAUCUUUGUUCCUUACGUUCCACCCUUGUAAAUGUGUUUUUACAUUCUCUUUAUUUUAUUUAGUUUAAUUUUCGAAACCAUAAUUCUUAAACCCCCCUUUUUUGUUUAGUUAUUUGUAUAUAUUUCUAUUAUGUAUUUUAUUUUUGUAAAUAAUACUUUAUUGUUUAAUUUCUUUAUUUGUUUACACAAUUACAUGUGUACCCUCAAUCCCCGGAUAGAACGAUCCCUAUUUACCAUAUACUAACGAUGACAUUUUAAAGAGUUAAAUUGCAUAUGUUGCUUUGAUUGUGUGAAACCUGUUUUCAAAAUAUAUUGGUUAGGUGCUUUGCUUGAUCAAUUGUGUAAAGGGAAGUAAAAUAAGGGACAUUGGUUGCUUUGAUCUUUGUUUCUUGGUUGAUAUAUUCUCGUCUCAUAGAUAACCAACUAUUAGAAUUGUAACCGGAUUUCUUGCAUAUGGAUGUAGUUUUGAUCUUUGUUCCUUACGUUCCACCCUUGUAAAUGUGUUUUUACAUUCUCUUUAUUUUAUUUAGUUUAAUUUUCGAAACCAUAAUUCUUAAACCCCC
Molecule: long non-coding RNA, 1065 nt
Filed under: Rosa chinensis
Lineage: Eukaryota; Viridiplantae; Streptophyta; Magnoliopsida; Rosales; Rosaceae
Description: sRNA RchiOBHm_Chr2g0142101
Source: RNAcentral